GCAGUGGUGGUUCAGGGGUAGAAUUCUAGCCUACCAUGUGGGAGACCUGGGUUCGAUUCCCAGCCAGUGCA
Molecule: non-coding RNA, 71 nt
Organism: Trichechus manatus latirostris (Florida manatee)
Lineage: Eukaryota; Metazoa; Chordata; Mammalia; Sirenia; Trichechidae
Source: the annotation of a RefSeq genome assembly